RNAcentral lists this non-coding RNA (63 nucleotides) under Paucibacter sp. KCTC 42545. RNAcentral's name for it is "Betaproteobacteria toxic small RNA". It matches the Rfam family "Betaproteobacteria toxic small RNA". Rfam says of the family: Overexpression in amino aid rich medium attenuates growth, suggesting role in repressing amino acid intake and metabolism. The record is from Rfam by way of RNAcentral. Lineage: Bacteria; Pseudomonadati; Pseudomonadota; Betaproteobacteria; Burkholderiales; Sphaerotilaceae.
UGUCUCCUCCACCGCCUCUGGGUGGAUUUCAGGCCUCGGUCCACAAGACCGGGGCCUUUUUUU